CAUGCAAGUCGAACGGUAACGCGGGGCAACCUGGCGACGAGUGGCGAACGGGUGAGUAAUGCAUCGGAACGUGUCCAGUAGUGGGGGAUAGCCCGGCGAAAGCCGGAUUAAUACCGCAUACGACCUACGGGUGAAAGCGGGGGAUCGCAAGACCUCGCGCUAUUGGAGCGGCCGAUGUCGGAUUAGCUAGUUGGUGAGGUAAAGGCUUACCAAGGCUACGAUCCGUAGCUGGUCUGAGAGGACGACCAGCCACACUGGGACUGAGACACGGCCCAGACUCCUACGGGAGGCAGCAGUGGGGAAUUUUGGACAAUGGGCGCAAGCCUGAUCCAGCCAUGCCGCGUGCGGGAAGAAGGCCUUCGGGUUGUAAACCGCUUUUGUCAGGGAAGAAACGCUUCGGGCUAAUACCUUGGAGUAAUGACGGUACCUGAAGAAUAAGCACCGGCUAACUACGUGCCAGCAGCCGCGGUAAUACGUAGGGUGCGAGCGUUAAUCGGAAUUACUGGGCGUAAAGCGUGCGCAGGCGGCCAUGCAAGACAGAUGUGAAAUCCCCGGGCUCAACCUGGGAACUGCAUUUGUGACUGCAUGGCUGGAGUGCGGCAGAGGGGGAUGGAAUUCCGCGUGUAGCAGUGAAAUGCGUAGAUAUGCGGAGGAACACCAAUGGCGAAGGCAAUCCCCUGGGCCUGCACUGACGCUCAUGCACGAAAGCGUGGGGAGCAAACAGGAUUAGAUACCCUGGUAGUCCACGCCCUAAACGAUGUCAACUGGUUGUUGGACGGCUUGCUGUUCAGUAACGAAGCUAACGCGUGAAGUUGACCGCCUGGGGAGUACGACCGCAAGGUUGAAACUCAAAGGAAUUGACGGGGACCCGCACAAGCGGUGGAUGAUGUGGUUUAAUUCGAUGCAACGCGAAAAACCUUACCUACCCUUGACAUGCCAGGAACUUACCAGAGAUGGUUUGGUGCUCGAAAGAGAGCCUGGACACAGGUGCUGCAUGGCCGUCGUCAGCUCGUGUCGUGAGAUGUUGGGUUAAGUCCCGCAACGAGCGCAACCCUUGUCAUUAGUUGCUACGUAAGGGCACUCUAAUGAGACUGCCGGUGACAAACCGGAGGAAGGUGGGGAUGACGUCAGGUCAUCAUGGCCCUUAUGGGUAGGGCUACACACGUCAUACAAUGGCCGGUACAGAGGGCUGCCAACCCGCGAGGGGGAGCCAAUCCCAGAAAACCGGUCGUAGUCCGGAUCGCAGUCUGCAACUCGACUGCGUGAAGUCGGAAUCGCUAGUAAUCGCGGAUCAGCUUGCCGCGGUGAAUACGUUCCCGGGUCUUGUACACACCGCCCGUCACACCAUGGGAGCGGGUUCUGCCAGAAGUAGUUAGCCUAACCGCAAGGAGGGCGAUACC
RNAcentral lists this ribosomal RNA (1400 nucleotides) under uncultured bacterium. RNAcentral describes it as "16S ribosomal RNA". It matches the Rfam family "Bacterial small subunit ribosomal RNA". The record is from RNAcentral.